UCCCCAGGAACCUACUUUUGCUGCAAACAAGCAGAUAUUGUGCAGAGAUACGUGGUCUCUCCUGGAGUCUGAGUGGACUUCUGAGUCUAGCCUGCCUGCCUGCCUGAGCUGCCCUGGGGCCCAGUGCUUCCUUCCAUGGCUGAAUGGGGACUGGUGCUUCCCUCUGCGGCUGUACAACCACUUCCCCUGGGACGCCCGAGCUGGGUGACAGCAGGCUGGUGUCACCUGGAAGCCCCCAUGCAGCUCAGGGACCACUCGGCCCGCUGGCAGCUUACCUUCUCCUCCCCCCCCCCCCCCCCCCCCCAAGAGGCAGGUAGGGAUUGGGUCCCCACCUUUGUGUACAUGCCAUGAGGGUUUAGUUUAGCUUAGUUCUCCCUAUAUUGAAGUGGUCUUUUAGAAAACCCACCAUUUCAAUUUAGGGAGAAUUAAACCCCCAUUGCGUGUACAAGCUGCUAUGUUUCUGUUCAGUUCCUGCAUUCUAGCCGCAGCUGCCCAUCCUCUGCCUCCACGUUGGAGUGGAUUUCAUGAUCUUCAGCUUCCACACAAAGCUGAUUCUGGAAGGGUACCAAGUACCUUUUGUUAUAUGUUGAGCGCCUUGAAUCUCUCUGGCUUUUUUUACAGCCAUGCAUACUGAAGGGGGUCAGUAGCUGAGCUUACCAGGAGGGAGAUGAAUUUCAUUCUAACAAGUGAUAGUCAAUGCUGGUGAGUCAGGAGCCACAUGAGCAGUCAGUGUACCAAGGAGCCACAACAUAUAUGUCCAUAGGGGAACGGUGGCAAACACAUUCCAGCCCCAAAACUGAAAAAGUACAUUAGUUAAGAGAGUUAUGUUGCAUUAUUCAUGAUUCAGGAGAAGCAAGCCCAAUGCAUACUGUCUUUAGAAAAAAAACUUUGAUGUGAUUUUAUGUGAAGAAUUCACAAGUAAUAAGUUGAAGGCUUGGGGGCUGCUGUCCUGGGUAUCAUUGCUCCCAUUGAUUUGGGUGAGGAGAAGUUGAUUUGAUUCCAACUCCCUCAUGUAUUCUGUGUUUUGAAUAUACAGCAAAAUGGACCAUAGAAUCAUAGAAAAUUAGGGUUGGAAGGUACCUGAGAAGGUCAUCUAGUCCAAACCCUUGCAGGCCCACCCCCAACUUUUAAACAUUUAGGAAAAUGUAACUCCUUACCAUUUCAUGUAUUUAUGCAAAUUGAUUUUGGACAUUUUUAUUAAUACUGGACAGCUGCCAAUGGUGUGAUGGCAGAAGGAGCUAGAGUCACGAGGAAGACCUGGGUGCCUAACUGUGACUUUAGGUUCCUAAGUCCAAAAUCUAAAGAAUCCUUGCGUGACCUUAUGAGCAUCUAAGUUUCUGCUAACAAAAGCCCCCUGAUACUUAUGUUUCUGCCCCUGGUCAUGCACAGAGCCAGCUAAACCUUGAUAAUACCAAGUUUUUUGGCACUGAACUCAUGUCUGAGACCCACACAAGCAUGGACUUGUACCUGAUUCUUCCACCUCACAUAUGAAUGGUCCAACCAUUGAGCUUGAAGGUUCAGGCUCUUGCUUGCAUUUUUUUUUCACAUAAUUUACUUUUAUGUGAAGUUAAGCAGCUUUAUUUCAAUUUUUUGAAAAAUGGCAGUUUUUUCAAAUAAGCAUAAAAUUAGUUUUUCUGUAACAAAAUUAGAACGUUUCAUGGUAUUUGAGAAUGGAGUUGUCCAAUGUGCAAAAUGACUGCAAUUAGUCGUGAAUAUGUGAGAACAAUUUAGAAAACAGCCAUUAGCGGUAUAUUCAAAAUCAAACAAUGGUGGGAAUUUUGGACUACAAGAAUAUGUGCGUAUGUUACAAUUUUUAAUGAAAAUUUAUUUCAAGUCUGCCAAAAAAAAUCAGAAUAUUUUUAAAGGUAAACAAUCCUUCUGCUAAAAGUCUAAGAAAACAUUCUAUUUUUCCUCCUGUUUUCAAGUAAAAUAUAUUUGCAGCUCUCCUUGUACAUUUUCCCAGGAGUUUCAAGGGCCUAGAUUUUCAUUUGGUGUACAUCACAUUAGCACUGCUAAAGUAAAGGAGUUGUAUUGAUUUGUACCAGA
Molecule: long non-coding RNA, 2046 nt
Organism: Alligator mississippiensis (American alligator)
Lineage: Eukaryota; Metazoa; Chordata; Crocodylia; Alligatoridae
Exons: 2
Source: RefSeq, a predicted model, not a curated record